AGCGAACGCUGGCGGCAGGCCUAACACAUGCAAGUCGAACGAACUCUUCGGAGUUAGUGGCGGACGGGUGAGUAACACGUGGGAACGUGCCUUUUGGUUCGGAAUAACUCAGGGAAACUUGUGCUAAUACCGAAUGUGCCCUUCGGGGGAAAGAUUUAUCGCCAUUAGAGCGGCCCGCGUCUGAUUAGCUAGUUGGUGAGGUAACGGCUCACCAAGGCGACGAUCAGUAGCUGGUCUGAGAGGAUGACCAGCCACACUGGGACUGAGACACGGCCCAGACUCCUACGGGAGGCAGCAGUGGGGAAUCUUGCGCAAUGGGCGAAAGCCUGACGCAGCCAUGCCGCGUGAAUGAUGAAGGUCUUAGGAUUGUAAAAUUCUUUCACCGGGGACGAUAAUGACGGUACCCGGAGAAGAAGUCCCGGCUAACUUCGUG
This 433-nucleotide ribosomal RNA is filed under the name uncultured bacterium. RNAcentral's name for it is "partial 16S ribosomal RNA". It matches the Rfam family "Bacterial small subunit ribosomal RNA", at positions 29 to 507 of the family's 1533-position model. The record is from RNAcentral.